AAGCCGAUGAGGAUUUGUUUUUAUAGUUGGAAUUACCGACUGAAUUCUCAUUUAUUUUGAUGUCAAUUUUACUGGCUGUCUGAGGCUUCAC
Small nucleolar RNA from Hibiscus syriacus, 91 nucleotides. Lineage: Eukaryota; Viridiplantae; Streptophyta; Magnoliopsida; Malvales; Malvaceae. The record is from RefSeq and is a predicted model, not a curated record.